Molecule: ribosomal RNA, 497 nt
Filed under: uncultured bacterium
Lineage: Bacteria
Description: partial 16S ribosomal RNA
Rfam family: Bacterial small subunit ribosomal RNA
Source: RNAcentral
GAUGAACGCUGGCGGCGUGCCUAAUACAUGCAAGUCGAGCGAACGGACGAGGAGCUUGCUUCUCUGAUGUUAGCGGCGGACGGGUGAGUAACACGUGGAUAACCUACCUAUAAGACUGGGAUAACUUCGGGAAACCGGAGCUAAUACCGGAUAAUAUUUUGAACCGCAUGGUUCAAAAGUGAAAGACGGUCUUGCUGUCACUUAUAGAUGGAUCCGCGCUGCAUUAGCUAGUUGGUAAGGUAACGGCUUACCAAGGCAACGAUGCAUAGCCGACCUGAGAGGGUGAUCGGCCACACUGGAACUGAGACACGGUCCAGACUCCUACGGGAGGCAGCAGUAGGGAAUCUUCCGCAAUGGGCGAAAGCCUGACGGAGCAACGCCGCGUGAGUGAUGAAGGUCUUCGGAUCGUAAAACUCUGUUAUUAGGGAAGAACACAUGUGUAAGUAACUGUGCACAUCUUGACGGUACCUAAUCAGAAAGCCACGGCUAACUACGUG